This is a long non-coding RNA of Meleagris gallopavo (turkey), 1259 nucleotides long. The record is from Ensembl. NCBI's taxonomy places the organism in Eukaryota, Metazoa, Chordata, Aves, Galliformes, Phasianidae.
GCCUUCCUUGAUCUACCAGUCGUACUCUUCCUGAGGCAGCCCAUAUGGAUAUGUUGGAUUGAAUCUUAAAUGAAGGUAAAAGAGUUUCAAAAGAAAAUCAGCAAGAACAAUCAUAUGUUUAGACAAAAUAGAUAAGGACUGAAAAUAGACUGGAGAGCAGCAGAUGGACGCGUGGGAUGAGACUCACCUUAGCUCAUGCCAGGCAGGCACCUGCCUUGUUGACAUCUUCAGCUAAGCACAUUCUCCAUGAUAAAAGGAGACAUCCCCUUCUGCUGAUCUUGGGUUCCUGGAGGAAGGUUCCAGUAACUAUGGCUGCAGAAACACAGAGGCAAAAUCCAUCCAGCUGAUACGUGUUCUCCUUUGGCUCUGGUAUGGUCCAUGUUCAAGACAGGAUGGAGUCAGGUUACAAAUAGUAGAAAAAAAAAUGUGUUGAAGAAAAUCACUCUGCAGUCUCCAGAAAGAAUAAUGCAUCUUCAGAUCAGCUUUGUAGAAUAAGUUGGAUCCCUUGCCUUGCUUUCUUUCAAUCCAUUUGUGGCUAGAGAUCUAACAAACCCAAUUUACAGUUUCAUUUCCAAUUCCCGUUGGAGACCAUGGCUGGCAACAUGGACAGGCUGGAUAUGCUCUUUGGCCACAAACUGAUCUCUAGGCAAUGUUUUCUGUAUUGAGAAUUAUUUUCAAAUGGCUUCACUGACUCUGUGUGCCAAGAUCUUAUUUUCUGAGACUGUAAUUUCUAUGUAGCUAACAAAUGCAGUCACAACCACUUUACUUUGACAGUUAAUAAAUAAAUUAAAAGCAAUGGAUAGCUUAGAAAACAGCCUUACAUCUGCUUGUUUGAGUUUGAUUAACUAGCCCUUUCAUAGCUCAUAACAAUUUUUAUUUUCCCCAGCACUCAGCAGCUCUCAACUUCAGCUCAUAUGGACAAAACUCCUCACACAUGUUAUUCCUCACAGCCACUGAGUUGGUGGGCGUCCUGUCAGGUCCACAAGGAUGAAGAGCAGAGGACUACCUCAUCUUGGCUAUAUCAGUGGUGAAGGAUGAGAACCUCCCAAUCUGCCUCAUUUUAUAUGCCUACGGGGCAGUGGAUUGCUCACAUCAUUGGUCCCAUCUGCCUUGAUCAUACCUCUUUUCUUUAGAACAGCGUCUCCAGCUUAAGCUGGUCCCUUAAACUCACACUCAAUCAGCCAAUCAUCUUUAAACUGCCAUGGAGUAAUUUUGUUCUCCACUGCAAAAUAUCUUGCAAUUUCUUUUUCUCAGCUCAC